UUAUCAUUCUAGCGCAGUUUGAUCCGUAUGAAACAAACAAUGCUCAUGAAUCAGAAGUUGUUUGUCCACGUGAACUGGGGUAUAAGGUUACCAAUUAGAGUGCAAGGAGCUUCUACAAGGGUUCUC
Helianthus annuus (common sunflower) is the source of this 126-nucleotide long non-coding RNA. RefSeq lists it as uncharacterized. The record is from RefSeq and is a predicted model, not a curated record. The transcript is spliced from 2 exons. NCBI's taxonomy places the organism in Eukaryota, Viridiplantae, Streptophyta, Magnoliopsida, Asterales, Asteraceae.